Gossypium raimondii (Peruvian cotton) is the source of this 145-nucleotide non-coding RNA. NCBI's taxonomy places the organism in Eukaryota, Viridiplantae, Streptophyta, Magnoliopsida, Malvales, Malvaceae. The record is from Rfam.
UGUUUGAAAUUUCAUCCAUUUGUACUAUUAAAAACUGAUGUGGCUGAUAAAAUAAUCAAAUACUAACACGUGGCAUGCCAUAUGUAUCUCAUGCUGACAUACAAAGAUCAAAUUUGAAUAGCAAAAAUGGAUGAAAUUUUUAAUA